Molecule: non-coding RNA, 2857 nt
Organism: Megalopta genalis
Lineage: Eukaryota; Metazoa; Arthropoda; Insecta; Hymenoptera; Halictidae
Source: RefSeq, a predicted model, not a curated record
ACAAAUAAUUAUCUAGGUAAUUUUUGUAAUUCAUAUCCAAAGAAGAAUAUUGUACAGUUCAAUGGCAUGUUAUGUUCUAUACUAUGGGUACAAUCGAACGAUUGUGUUUAAAGUACCUUUGAAUCGAGUUGACCUGACCGACGCUGCAGAUAAUCUACUAAGAUAAUUUUUUUAAGAAAAUAUAUACUGAACUGAAUUUAAAUCUAUCUCUAUUGAAAAGAUAAAAAUAGAACUAUCGUUUUUUAUCGUUUUCUCAUCAUUGUUUAGGAAUGAAACAGUACUUACAUGUUCACAGUAAUAAUAAUUUCACCGAAUUUUGUCAAAUAACAAAUACAAAAAAAUAAAGAUUACAUUUUAUAUGUUUUUAACGCGAUGUCCAGUUUAACUCGACUCAUUGGAAUACCUCCUUAGAAGGAACAAAUAUCUUUAUGAACGUUCUCAAUGUGCAGGGAGACAUAAUGUGGUAUAUACAAAUAUUUUUCUAUGGAUGAAAUAGUAAGUGAAAUUUUAAGGUCAGGUUAGUUUUUUUAAGUGGAAUGCUGUAUUUUUUUUAUUUAUAUUAUUGUAGUGUAAAUUCAGUGAAACACCACACAAUACAUUCCGUUUUAUGUAAUGUUGUAAAAUACUGAAUUCUGCAUUUUUGAGUCACUGUUUAACCCUUCGGCGACCACCUCCGUAUCGUAUUACGCCUGGGUCCUUAUCGGAUACGGAUCUAUGCAACAGAUCACGUCUGGCGUUUCUUUGUUUAUAUAAACAGCAAUUUCGUAAUAGGAACUGUUUGGACCACUCGCUUGAGGAUGUAUAUGUACAGUAUAUAUACAAUGACAGAUAAGAGAUAUCACGUAUUAUUAAUAAAUACAUCGAAACAGCGAAGAUCGGUUCGAAAAUCUGUUACAAGUUAGCGAUUCAAACGAAAGUUCGUUUAGCGAAAGUGAAAGUGAUAGUGAGAAUUCUAUUGAUGAUUUUGUUAAUGCUAUUAUUACAAGUGAACAUGGUGAUAGUGAUAUCGAGUGCUAUGAUAGUGCACAGUUUCAGCAACAUUUUGAAUGUCAGGAUAUGGAUAAUUAUGCGGGACAAAGGGAAACAUUUAAUGAGAAUUAUGGAUCUUAAAAUGAAGCAAAAAAUGCGAAGUCAGUUCUUGAUUCGGUUUUAUUAUUUUUUACGCAAGACCUCGUGGAAAAGAUAGCAGAUGAAACAAACAAAUACGCGGAGCUCAAUAUCACCUCAAGAAGACGAUCAUUAGAAGAAUGUAUAUUCGUAACAAUUACAGUGAAUGAAUUAUGCGUAUAGUGUUAUUGGCCUAUUGUUACUCAUGGGAAUAGUGCAAAAGCCAACGUCACGACUGUACUUUUCCACAAAAAGAAUUAUUUCAACUCCAGCAUUUCACAACUCCAGAGAUGUAAUAUUAUGCUAUUUGCAUUUCUGAGCACCUACAUAACAUUUUCAGCGGUCGCCGCUAGCGGAUACUAUCAUUAAAGAUAGAGAUUUACAGUUGAAUCAAAUGGACCCGGACAGUACAGGGGGGCGUAUAAGUUAACCUUUUCUUUUUUUAAAUGUAAGUAACAUAUGAUUUGAAGAAAUUAAGUUAAGUCGAUUAACUGAAACCAUAGUAUAGAUAACGUAAAAAUUGAUCUGUCUGUAGAAUAACUACUAACGUUUUAAACGUGGUGGUUUCAAGUCUCUAUUGUUACCAUUUUUAUUUACUCAUAUUAAUUAAGUAGUUUUUCAUUUCAAUUUAAAUAACUCAAAUAAAUGCGAAAAUUAAUGGGGUGGGGGAGGGCUCGUGGAGUUUGUAGGUUGAAAAAUGACGAGAAAAACAUUAUUUCUGUUAUUUUAUAGUUUUAUAAAAUUGUUUUUUACCACCCAUGCUCCACAAAUUUCUAUUACUACUAUUAAUUCGAUAUUAUUUUAAUAUUGGAUUAAUUAAAAAAUAGUUUUAUGACAGUUAUGAGAACAUUUCGGUUCUUCGUAUCUGUUUCAAGAACCGAAACCGAUAUCAUAACUGUUUUCAACCCCUGCUUUCAAUUACAGCAGGAAUCAGCCCUUUCCGGAUAUAAGGGGGCUCCCUGUAUACCUACAGCGUGUUUAAGAAGGUGGUUCAAGAUUUUAAGGAUUUAUUAUACCGACCGAGAGGAGUAAAAAAUGUCCAUUCAACAUAGGUCCAAAAAAGCCAAUCCUCUCGGUCAGUACUAUAAAUCCUUAAAAUCUUGAACCACUUUUUUUUUAACACUCUGUAUAUGUAUAUAUUGUACAUUAGUAUAACGCAAAAGUGAGAUCUACUGUGUUAAAGUUUAUAAAAAUGUAUAAGACCAGUAGACUAGUGUAAACGCGAAAAGUCAUUACAACCCGGGUGUUCUCGUAUAUAUUAUUAUUCUGCUGCCAAAUAUACAUCAAAGAAGAAGAAGAAGAAGAAGAAGAAGAAGAAGGUCUACCACCUGAAUCAUUGCAAACAAAAUUUGAAGAUACCACAUACUGGAUAUACUUUAAUAGCGAUUCGACAUGUUACUUCAUCUGUAAGCAGAAGGGACGCAUAGACAAGCAGUGUCGAAGUCACAUCGAAGAAAAAACAACAAACGCUUUCACAAACCUAGCAGACGAAGACGCGCCUCUGUCAACGACGUUCUACAAUCGCAACCGCUGACACGUUAUACCGAUAAACGCCAACAUGGGUAUCAGAAGAAGUUCUCCAUCGUCCACGUCAUCGGAUAAUCUUCUGUAAUUGAACACCUAAAAAGGAAGGUGUAGAUAUUCUUUUAUUUGGUUUACAUUAGAGUGAACCAAACACUAUGCGCGACCAACACCAUGCUGAUUGUACAAAAAUAGAAUAAGGAAAUAUAAUACUUUUUUUACCAGGAAA